UAACUGCGAGUGAAGCGGGAAAAGCUCAAAUUUAAAAUCUGGCGGUCUUUGGUCGUCCGAGUUGUAGUCUGGAGAAGUGCUUUCCGCGCUGGACCGUGUACAAGUCUCUUGGAACAGAGCGUCAUAGAGGGUGAGAAUCCCGUCUUUGACACGGACUACCAGUCGCUUUGUGAUGCGCUCUCAAAGAGUCGAGUUGUUUGGGAAUGCAGCUCAAAAUGGGUGGUGAAUUCCAUCUAAAGCUAAAUAUUGGCGAGAGACCGAUAGCGAACAAGUACCGUGAGGGAAAGAUGAAAAGCACUUUGGAAAGAGAGUUAAACAGUACGUGAAAUUGCUGAAAGGGAAACGCUUGAAGUCAGUCGCGUUGGCCAGAACUCAGCCUUGCUCUUUUGCUUGGUGCAUUUUCUGGUUGACGGGUCAGCAUCAGUUUUGAUCGUUGGAGAAAGGUCAGAGGAAUGUGGCACCUCCGGGUGUGUUAUAGCCUCUGGUCACAUACGACGAUUGGGACUGAGGGUCUCAGCACGCCUCUAAGGCCGGGGUUCGCCCACGUUCGUGCUUAGGAUGCUGGCAUAAUGGCUUUAAGCGACCCGUCUUGAAACACGGACCAAGGAGUCUAACAUACCUGCGAGUGUUUGGGUGGAAAACCCGAGCGCGUAAUGAAAGUGAAAGUUGAGAUCCCUGUCGUGGGGAGCAUCGACGCCCGGACCUGACGUUCUCUGACGGCUCCGCGGUAGAGCAUGUAUGCUGGGACCCGAAAGAUGGUGAACUAUGCCUGAAUAGGGUGAAGCCAGAGGAAAC
This 795-nucleotide ribosomal RNA is filed under the name Resinoporia cretacea. RNAcentral's name for it is "eukaryotic LSU rRNA". It matches the Rfam family "Eukaryotic large subunit ribosomal RNA", at positions 84 to 862 of the family's 3401-position model. The record is from RNAcentral. Lineage: Eukaryota; Fungi; Basidiomycota; Agaricomycetes; Polyporales; Adustoporiaceae.